RNAcentral lists this unclassified non-coding RNA (311 nucleotides) under uncultured fungus. RNAcentral's name for it is "partial contains 5.8S ribosomal RNA and internal transcribed spacer 2". The stretch from base 1 to 133 matches the Rfam family "5.8S ribosomal RNA", at positions 22 to 154 of the family's 154-position model. The record is from RNAcentral. Lineage: Eukaryota; Fungi.
UGGUUCUGGCAUCGAUGAAGAACGCAGCGAAAUGCGAUAAGUAAUGCGAAUUGCAGAAUUCAGUGAGUCAUCGAAUCUUUGAACGCACAUUGCGCCCCUUGGUAUUCCGGGGGGCAUGCCUGUUCGAGCGUCAUUUAACCCCUCAAGCUCAGCUUGGUGUUGGGGCCUGCCUGUGGGCAGCCCUUAAAAUCAGUGGCGGUGCCAUCUGGCUCUAAGCGUAGUAAUUCUUCUCGCUACAGGGUCCCGGUGGAUGCUUGCCAUAACCCCAAUUUUCUUUGGUUGACCUCGGAUCAGGUAGGGAUACCCGCUGA